This is a long non-coding RNA of Physella acuta, 820 nucleotides long. RefSeq lists it as uncharacterized. Lineage: Eukaryota; Metazoa; Mollusca; Gastropoda; Physidae. The record is from RefSeq and is a predicted model, not a curated record.
UACUUCCUGGAAAUAAAUCUCACUUAGUAGAUUUUUUAAAUAAAUCGAAUUGUGUGCAGAGACAAUGAUAACGCUUGUUAGAAUAAAAACUUUAUACUGAUGUGUCGUAUUAGGAAGAAACAAUGUGAAGCUAACAUUUGUUACUUCUAUUAAAGUACUUUUUCUUUACAUUUAUAAACCGUGUCAAUUUUUGAAAGAGGCAACCUCAGACCUUGAAACCAUUACCAGAGAAGCACGUGCCAAACGUUGAACAAACGGAAUUAACUUUGAAAACAUCACAAUUCAAAACUGAAACAUCUAAUACUUUGAUGGACUGAUAGCCAUAUUACAGAAACAUAUGUCCAAAUUUCUUAUAAAAAAGCUAGAACCAAGAAAACUAACCCUAUGCACAGACGAAUUUUUAACACCACACCAUCGACCGCUACUAGCGAUGCCUCUAGAGAGAGAGAAAAGAAUCAAACGCCAGAUGACAAAUCGGACAAAUCUGGCAUCGGUGCCUUUACAGUCGGGUUAUCAAAACCGAUCAAUUGCCUGUUGAAAGACAGGUCUAUACUUCUUCCACAUUCAUGACGAUGCUGGCAAAGGGAAAGAACUGAGUCCGUCUCUGGUUAAGAACAAACCGAAAGUUAUUUCGCUAUACAGCAGCACAAAUCAAGAGUUGUCUCUCGCUGCCAACUCGGCAGUGUUGCUGUUGGAGGCUGGUGAUGAGGUCUUUGUUGAAGCUUCCAACUGUGGUAGUCUGUAUGGAGAGGAGCAUCACGUGAUCAACACUUUCUCUGGUUUCCUGCUGAAGAAAGCGAUAUGAAAAUAUUGAGUCAUC